RNAcentral lists this ribosomal RNA (497 nucleotides) under uncultured bacterium. Its description in RNAcentral is "partial 16S ribosomal RNA". It matches the Rfam family "Bacterial small subunit ribosomal RNA", at positions 28 to 507 of the family's 1533-position model. The record is from RNAcentral.
GAUGAACGCUGGCGGCGUGCCUAAUACAUGCAAGUCGAGCGAACGGACGAGAAGCUUGCUUCUCUGAUGUUAGCGGCGGACGGGUGAGUAACACGUGGAUAACCUACCUAUAAGACUGGGAUAACUUCGGGAAACCGGAGCUAAUACCGGAUAAUAUUUUGAACCGCAUGGUUCAAAAGUGAAAGACGGUCUUGCUGUCACUUAUAGAUGGAUCCGCGCUGCAUUAGCUAGUUGGUAAGGUAACGGCUUACCAAGGCAACGAUGCAUAGCCGACCUGAGAGGGUGAGCGGCCACACUGGAACUGAGACACGGUCCAGACUCCUACGGGAGGCAGCAGUAGGGAAUCUUCCGCAAUGGGCGAAAGCCUGACGGAGCAACGCCGCGUGAGUGAUGAAGGUCCUCGGAUCGUAAAACUCUGUUAUUAGGGAAGAACAUAUGUGUAAGUAACUGUGCACAUCUUGACGGUACCUAAUCAGAAAGCCACGGCUAACUACGUG